This 253-nucleotide ribosomal RNA is filed under the name uncultured bacterium. RNAcentral's name for it is "partial 16S ribosomal RNA". It matches the Rfam family "Bacterial small subunit ribosomal RNA", at positions 524 to 776 of the family's 1533-position model. The record is from RNAcentral.
UACGUAGGGCGCGAGCGUUGUCCGGAUUUAUUGGGCGUAAAGAGCUCGUAGGUGGCUUGUCGCGUCUGCCGUGAAAGCCCGCGGCUUAACUGCGGGUUUGCGGUGGAUACGGGCUGGCUUGAGGCAGGUAGGGGCAAGCGGAAUUCCUGGUGUAGCGGUGAAAUGCGCAGAUAUCAGGAGGAACACCGGUGGCGAAGGCGGCUUGCUGGGCCUUGCCUGACGCUGAGGAGCGAGAGCGUGGGGAGCGAACAGG